AUGGCGAUCAGAGAAGGACUAGCACUUGCGGAGGACCUUUACCAAAGGUGUAUUCAUGUUGCAUCUGAUUGCAAGCAGGUUAGCCAUGAAUUUAGGAGCUCAAGUUAUGAAGCUCACAACUUAGCGAAGCAUGCUCUAUCUCUCGGGGAUGGACGUCGUGUGUGGCUAGGCCACCCCGGAGAUCUUCCCUUCGUCCCUGUAAACAUUAUGACGAACUAA
RNAcentral lists this ribosomal RNA (219 nucleotides) under Triticum aestivum (bread wheat). RNAcentral's name for it is "partial small subunit ribosomal RNA". The record is from RNAcentral. Lineage: Eukaryota; Viridiplantae; Streptophyta; Magnoliopsida; Poales; Poaceae.